CAAGCUGUAAAUUAUGCAUGCUAGAUGUUUUGGACCCUCGUGGUCUGGAGUGUCGUAAUCUAACGAGUUAAGCAUGCCGCCUGGGUAGUAUAUUCGCAAGAAUGAAACUCAAAGGGAUAGGCGGGGGAACACACAAGCAGUGGAUUAUCUAGAUUAAUUGGAUACUAAGCCAAAAAUCUCACCUAAACUUGACAUGUACUAUGUCCUAUGUGAAAGCAUAGUAGUCCAAGCAAUUGGGCGUGGUACACAGAUGG
RNAcentral lists this ribosomal RNA (254 nucleotides) under uncultured bacterium. Its description in RNAcentral is "partial 16S ribosomal RNA". It matches the Rfam family "Bacterial small subunit ribosomal RNA", at positions 796 to 1041 of the family's 1533-position model. The record is from RNAcentral.